GGUUCUGAGACCCUGGGUCUUAGAGAGAAAAUGGAUAGAGUGUCAUUAAAAAGUAAAUGACUAGGGCUGGAAAAAUGGCUCCUAAUAAGGUCCUGGGUUUGAUUCCCAGAACCCACACACGAAACAGCCAGGGGUCCAAAAACAAAAUAAGAGCUGGCGAGCUAGCUCAUCAGUUAAGAACACUUGUUACUAUCACAAAGGACCUGUCUUUAGGACCCAGCAUCUUCCACAUGCUGCCUCUCAACUGCCCAUAACUCCAGUUCUCGGGGACUCAAAGCCUUCUGGCUUCUACAGAUGUCAGGCACAUAUGUGGUACACAUAUACGCAACAGGCAGAACACUUAUAUACAUAAAAUUAAAAAAAAUACCAUGAGAUGAGAACAAAAAAUAGCCUCGUGUGAUGGCACACUCCCAUAACCAGAAUUUGGGAAGCCGAGACAGACAGGGCUCUGUGAGUUCCAGGUCAGCCCAUACAUACUAAGAUCCUGUUUCAGAAACAAAAGCAAGUCAGGCAUGGUGGCAUGCAUUUAUAUUCUCAGACCCGGGGAAGACCCUAAGGCAAGCCAGCCUCUUCUGCUGGGUGAGCUCUAGUCAGUGAGAGAGCUCAUCUUAGUGGGAGUAAAAAGUAGCCACACAGUGGUGGCGCACGCCUUUAAACCCAGCACUUGGCAGGCAGAGGCAGGUGGAGCUCUGAGUUCAAGGCCAGCCUGGUCUACAGAGUGAGUUCCAGGACAGCCAGGGCUAUACAGAGAAACCCUGUCUCAAAGAUAACAGCCACAACAACAACAACAAAAAUAGACAUUCCCUGAGGAACAAGGCCCAAGGUGCCACAUGUAUGUAUACACACACACACACACACACACACACACACACACACACACACACACACAUACACACAAGUAAAGGACUCGUGAGCUCACAGUGAUAGUAACAAUAGUUAUGUUGAAGAUAUUGGCAUAAAAAUUAAUUCUACCAGGAAUUCUAUAAUCUUUGUCUGUAAGCAAGGCCCAAGGCUCGAUCCUCAGUACUGGGAAAAAAAAAAUCUAAAUGUCUAAAACUAGGCAAUGGAAAAAUGUUUUGACUUUCUAAGAUAUGAACGACCCCCAUCCCCUGCCAGUGAAGGCAGCAGACCCCUUCUGUGCUAGUGCCAGCUUCCCCGGACUGCCUGUGGGGACAUGCUGUUCUCUCUGACUCCAGCUGCCAGCCUUCCACGUGUGUCCUGCCCAGCCUGUAAUCUGGCUGUGGGAGUCUGAGGAGGACAGCCUGUUCUGAGCCACUCUCUGUGACCUCUCUGUGGAAUGCUGACCUGUGACCUUACCCCAGACUCAGAGCUGAGUGAGACACCCCAAGGGAAUGAGAAAGGUGCCCAGGAGGAGACCUGAGGGGGCCAUGAGAACUCCCAGAUGUUUAGGAACAUUAGCAGGGUGGUUCCAUUUGCAGACUCCGGCUGCUGGCCACACAUUUCCCAAAGUGCUUUUUUUUUUCUCUCUCUCUCUCUGUUCCAUUUGCCUCUGCUUCCUUCCUGUCCCCAGCCAGCAACAGUGGCUAUGCUGAAGAGCUUCCAUCUGGAAGAAGACCUGCUCUGUUCAGACAUUUUACUUAUAUAAUUCAAUUUAGUUCUUAUGCCAACCGGUGGCCAGGAUAUGGAUAUGGGAACUGAAGUUAGCAGGCAGUAGUUUGUCCAAGAAACACACCUACUUUCUGGCUGGAAUUUUGCUUGCUUGAGUUUUUGCUUUGUUUGUUUGUUUGUUUAUUCAUUUCUUUUGGUUUUGUUUACGUGCUUGUUCACUUUGAGACAAGGUCUCUAUGGAGCCCUGGCUGUCCUAGAACUUGCUGUGUAGACCAGGCUGGCCUCUACGUUAACUCACAGAGAUCCACCUGCCUCUCUAUCUCCUGAGUAUUGGGAUUAAAUUUGUGAACUACUGGGCCCGGCUUUGAUUUUAUUUGAAUUUUUGAGACUGGGUCUACGUGGCCAAAGCUGACCUUAAACUCACUAUGUGUCUCCAGGAUGACCUUGAACUUCUGGCAGUGUCCCUUUAUCAAGAUCCUUUGCAAUUAAGCUUUGUGCCUCGAUGCCUGGCUUGUGUAUCUAUCUAAGAAUAGAACCCAGAGCGUUGAGUGUAACAUAGAACACACUACUGAGCUACACCCCCGGCUCCUUGAUUUACACUCUUAUUAUAAUAAAUGUCAAACACACAGAGAUUGUCAACACAAUGAAUUCCCUUGUUCUCACCACCAAGCCCUGGCAUAUACCUUUGGGUCCGCUAGAAAAAGGUCCCCUUCCUCCAGGGUCCUCAGCCUCGUAAGCAGAUGGUGGGCUGAAUUUCAGCCCUCUCUGUCCCUUGGGCUGGGCACUUUGUGCUGUGAACAGUCCAUGUAACUGUAUAUGACAACCCUGCCUAAGAGUCCUUCUUCUCAACUUGCUUUUGGCAUGACAAAAAGCACCCACAGCCAGACACCUGGCAGAGUGUUGAUUGCGAUAGUCAAUGCUUUGCUAAGUGGGACACAGGGAGAAAAGCUCGGACGCUGGGGACUCCCCGAAUUCAUAGUAAGCCGGGAGAUAAUUCCAGAGGAGACUGCUUAUAUACAGAGGAGGAGAGGAGGGAGGAGACAGAUGAACUGUGUCCUGCUGCUCCGAUUUCCUGCAGCUCCCCGCACCCGAUGUCUCCAGGAUGUACACACACACACACACACACACACACACACAUGCUUCCCCCUUCCCUUCUGUGCCUGGGGGACAAGGGAGGUGCUUGUCUGUAGCCAUCACAGUCCAGGGCUGGCAGAAGGAAGUAGGUGGAGCCCAGGGUGUGAAAACCCAGUGUGAACUGUGCAGCUACCCCCCUGGAUGUCCUUACUGGAACAUCCUCUGCCCCCCGGGUGGCUAGAUUGUCUGAGGCUCUGCUUAGCCAAGGGUCGGGUGGGAGUGCUACUUUUGCACCUGGAGAGCUAUUUCUUUAAAUCCCAAGCAGGCCCUGUGGGUGAUCAGACGUGGGGCUUCUUCAGGGUACCUGGUGUGUAUGUGUGUAUUUGUAACUGCUGUGUUCUUGGCUAUGCCCAGUGCUGUAUUUAGUAUUGGUGUGCAAAUAAGCAUUAGACAGAUGUAUAUUAUACAAUUAAUGUUACAAAGUAUCCCAUGGAACAGAGAAAUGUGCCAGAGGGAGGGUCCAGGCUGCUGCUUCAUGCCUCUGACUGCAUCUCAGGGAUAACCAAACUCUGACGUUCAGUGGCUUGACACAGUUGAUGUGUGGAAUUUUGUUGUUGCUUCUUGAAACAGUGUCUGUCUAUGUAACCCUGCCUCUCUGGGAACUUGCUAUGUAGACCAGGCUGGCAUCUAACUCAGAGACCCACCUUCCUUCUGCCUCUCAAGCGCUGGGAUUAAAGAGGUGUGUCCACACCACCACAUCUGGCUCCCCGUGCAUUUUGCUCAUGGGGCAUCUAAUGUGCCUGAGGUAGUCUUGACUUGUGACAACUCCAUCUGGAACCUGGGAGGUGGUGGCAGGAGCAGAAGAGGGAGGAAGAACCAUUUACUUAGAAGGCAGAGGCAGGUGGAUAUCUGCAAAUUCAAGCUAGCCUGGUCUACAUAGAGAGUUUCAGGCCAGACUGGACUACAUAGUGAGACUUUGUCCUCUCCUCCCC
RNAcentral lists this long non-coding RNA (3635 nucleotides) under Mus musculus (house mouse). Its description in RNAcentral is "long non-coding RNA chr11:88112476-88116111". Lineage: Eukaryota; Metazoa; Chordata; Mammalia; Rodentia; Muridae. The record is from RNAcentral.